This 1435-nucleotide long non-coding RNA is filed under the name Homo sapiens (human). RNAcentral describes it as "long non-coding RNA NONHSAT099832". Lineage: Eukaryota; Metazoa; Chordata; Mammalia; Primates; Hominidae. The record is from RNAcentral.
ACUUCGCCAUUUUCCUCCGGAAGUGCGGAUCCCAGCGGCGGUCGUGUAGCUGAGCAGCCCUGGGGCUUGGUUCUAUGUCCCUGUGGCUAUGUUUCCAGUGUCCUCUGGGUGUUUCCAAGAGCAACAAGAAACGAAUAAAUCUCUGACCCUUCUCAGGUGCAGCCAGAGAGACACUAGCCCACUGAUGGAUGGACAGACGUGGGCAGGGUCCGUGUCACUAAACCACCCACCACUGCCACAGCUGCCUACAACAGACACAUCAGAUGACACUCCGGGCAAAUAAAUGAUUUUCACUGAGGACUUACUGGUUUUAAUAAUAGGUCCUGGUGUAGAGAAGUCCCUCAACCUAUUGUGCAAUGAGUUUUGAGAAGCGGGUAAGCUGUAUGUUUUGUGGUUCUGUUUCAUAAAUGCAUCUACAGGAAGACCAAUAUUGACUGAAUGAAGCUUUCAUUUAAAGAGCUAAAAUAUGCUUUGUGUUUUUAUAUGUGGAUACUACUUUAAACCUAAUGACUAUUCAUUGUAUCAUAGCUUGUGAUGUAUUCUGCUCACGGCUUUUAAGGUAAAUUGUGCCAUGAUCCACUGCCAUUCUAAUUGCUUUAACAAGUCAUUACCACACUACUGUUACAUCUUAAUUAUGCAUACAGACAGGUAGACUUAUUUUACAUAUGUGAACUAACUAGUUGUCAAAGCAAAUGCAGAUUGUAUUCUACAAGUAAAGUCUUUUUCUCUCUGAAAUUUCUAGGGAUGUUCUUUAAGUGAAAUUCAUAUUCAAACUGAAGAUUUUAGUUACAAGAACUGAGUGCAGAUUAAAGUCUUUUUGUGAUUCAAACAUAGUCAAGAGUACAACUGUGAUAUUUCAUGGAAGUUAUGCAAUAAAAUGUCUCUAACCUGCGAACAAAUCUAUCAAGCAGACGGCACAGUACUGAAUUUGAAACCAGAAAUACUGGGUUUUUAUAUAAAUGCUUCAUAGAUUUGUUUUAUGAUAAAGGGCACAUAACUCUCCUAAACCUCACACCACCUCUUGAAUAGGUAUAAUAAGUCCACAUCAAUGCUGAUGCCUUAGCUAUUAUUAAACUCUUACAGUAUGAUGUAAAGUGAAAGUACAAUGUAAGAUCAUUCCUAGGCCAACUUUGACCAGUUUUAUACAGAAACAUGUGCCAACUUUUCUGUUUGCAAGGAUAAUAUCAAAGCAAACACCAGAAAGUUAUAUCUUUGAUGCAUUUUUUUCAAAAUCAUACACAUAAUACACAAACCAAAGACAAAUGAUGAAUAUUAUGUCAGAAAAUAUAAAGUCUUCCCCUUUCUUCUUUUGCCAAGAAAGUCCAAUAUUUUCACCAUUUUUAUGCACACAAUCAACUUUAUUUAAGCUGGAAGUUAAUGUCUCAUUGUUUUCAUUGUUCUAAAUAAACACCUUUUCCCUUGAGUAUUGUUCUAA